UGGAGAUCUUGGGAGCUUUGAUAUUUAUUUCAGGCAUCUUGAACUUGGGGCCCUUUAGUUUCGCAUCUGGACCUUCGAUAUUCACAUCAGGAACAUCAACGUCCACUUUGGGUCCUGAGACAUCAAUGUCAGCCUUGGGCAGGUUCACAUCCACAUCUGGGCCCUCUCCUUUGAAGCCAGGCAUGCUGAACUUGGGCAUUUUCACCUUGGGCAUCUUCAGGUGCCAGUCUGGGCCUUGAACAUCAACAUCUGGAGCAUUAAUGUCCACUUUGGGGCCCUUGAUGUUUAAAUCAAUGUCAGGCAUCGAUAUUUUGGG
Molecule: long non-coding RNA, 316 nt
Filed under: Homo sapiens (human)
Lineage: Eukaryota; Metazoa; Chordata; Mammalia; Primates; Hominidae
Description: HSALNT0176028
Source: RNAcentral